RNAcentral lists this ribosomal RNA (253 nucleotides) under uncultured bacterium. RNAcentral's name for it is "partial 16S ribosomal RNA". It matches the Rfam family "Bacterial small subunit ribosomal RNA", at positions 524 to 776 of the family's 1533-position model. The record is from RNAcentral.
UACGUAGGGUGCAAGCGUUGUCCGGAACUAUUGGGCGUAAAGAGCUCGUAGGCGGUUUAUUGCGUCGGCUGUGAAAUCCCGAGGCUCAACCUCGGGUCUGCAGUCGAUACGAGCAAACUAGAGUGUUGCAGGGGAGACUGGAAUUCCUGGUGUAGCGGUGAAAUGCGCAGAUAUCAGGAGGAACACCGGUGGCGAAGGCGGGUCUCUGGGCAACAACUGACGCUGAGGAGCGAAAGCGUGGGGAGCGAACAGG